ACACACACACACACACACACACCAGAACGGGAAGAAGCAUGUAUCCUGAAACGGCCCUCUACGUAGCCAACUACAUACUCAGCACACUGCGGUAAAUACCUACCUUGUGGGGACCAGAGCUACACGUGUCCGAGAGAGCACUGCGUUAAACACCUACCUUGUGGGGACCAGAGCUAUACGUGUCCGAGAGAGCGCUACGGUAAAUAUCUACCUUGUGGGGACCAGAGCUAUACGUGUCCGAGAGAGCACUGCAGUAAAUACCUACCUCGUGGGGACCAGAGCUAUACGUGUCCGAGAGAGCGCUACGGUAAAUACCUACCUCAUGGGGACCAGAGCUAUACGUGUCCGAGAGAGCACUG
Long non-coding RNA from Ictalurus punctatus (channel catfish), 359 nucleotides. Lineage: Eukaryota; Metazoa; Chordata; Actinopteri; Siluriformes; Ictaluridae. The record is from Ensembl.